RNAcentral lists this ribosomal RNA (253 nucleotides) under uncultured bacterium. RNAcentral's name for it is "partial 16S ribosomal RNA". It matches the Rfam family "Bacterial small subunit ribosomal RNA", at positions 524 to 776 of the family's 1533-position model. The record is from RNAcentral.
UACGUAGGGGGCAAGCGUUGUCCGGAAUCAUUGGGCGUAAAGCGCGUGUAGGCGGUUCGGUAAGUCUGCUGUGAAAGUCCAGGGCUCAACCCUGGGAUGCCGGUCGAUACUGCCGGACUAGAGUUCGGAAGAGGCGAGUGGAAUUCCCGGUGUAGCGGUGAAAUGCGCAGAUAUCGGGAGGAACACCUAUGGCGAAGGCAGCUCGCUGGGACGUUACUGACGCUGAGACGCGAAAGCGUGGGGAGCAAACAGG